This 301-nucleotide long non-coding RNA is filed under the name Pan troglodytes (chimpanzee). RNAcentral describes it as "long non-coding RNA NONPTRT002087". The record is from RNAcentral. Lineage: Eukaryota; Metazoa; Chordata; Mammalia; Primates; Hominidae.
CUUUCAUGUACACCAAUCAGACGUAGAUUUGGUCUUUUCACAUAGUCCCAUAUUUCUUGGAGGCUUUGCUCGUUUCUUUUUAUUCUUUUUUCUCUAAACUUUCCUUCUCGCUUCAUUUCAUUCAUUUCAUCUUCCAUUGCUGAUACCCUUUCUUCCAGUUGAUCACAAACUCCCUGACCCCUUGCGCUUCCUGAGUGAGGCAAUGCCUCGCCCUGCUUCAGCUCGCGCACGGUGCGUGCACCCACUGACCUGCGCCCACUGUCUGGCACUCCCUAGUGAGAUGAACCUGGUACCUCAGAUG